GGGCAGGUGGCGGAACUAGGUAGACGCGGCAGCCUUAGGAGCUGUUGGGGUAAUACCCGUGAGAGUUCGAUUCUCUCCCUGCCCA
This 85-nucleotide transfer RNA is filed under the name Candidatus Magasanikiibacteriota bacterium. RNAcentral's name for it is "Candidatus Magasanikbacteria bacterium tRNA-Leu". It matches the Rfam family "tRNA". From Rfam's summary of the family: Transfer RNA (tRNA) molecules are approximately 80 nucleotides in length. Their secondary structure includes four short double-helical elements and three loops (D, anti-codon, and T loops). Further hydrogen bonds mediate the characteristic L-shaped molecular structure. tRNAs have two regions of fundamental functional importance: the anti-codon, which is responsible for specific mRNA codon recognition, and the 3' end, to which the tRNAs corresponding amino acid is attached (by aminoacyl-tRNA synthetases). tRNAs cope with the degeneracy of the genetic code in two manners: having more than one tRNA (with a specific anti-codon) for a particular amino acid; and 'wobble' base-pairing, i.e. permitting non-standard base-pairing at the 3rd anti-codon position. RNAcentral also lists the same sequence under 1 other name. Lineage: Bacteria; Candidatus Magasanikiibacteriota. The record is from RNAcentral.